ACUCCUACGGGGCAGGCAGUCGGGAGGAUAUUGCACAAUGGGCGCAAGCCUGAUGCAGCCAUGCCGCGUGUAUGAAGAAGGCCUUCGGGUUGUAAAGUACUUUCAGCAGUGAGGAAGGUGGAGUCGUUAAUAGCGGCCUCAUUUGACGUUAGCUGCAGAAGAAGCACCGGCUAACUCCGUGCCAGCAGCCGCGGUAAUACGGAGGGUGCGAGCGUUAAUCGGAAUUACUGGGCGUAAAGCGCAUGCAGGCGGCCUGUUAAGUCAGAUGUGAAAGCCCGGGGCUUAACCUCGGAAUUGCAUUUGAAACUGGCAGGCUAGAGUC
RNAcentral lists this ribosomal RNA (322 nucleotides) under uncultured bacterium. RNAcentral describes it as "bacterial SSU rRNA". It matches the Rfam family "Bacterial small subunit ribosomal RNA", at positions 335 to 648 of the family's 1533-position model. The record is from RNAcentral.